GACGAACGCUGGCGGCGUGCUUAACACAUGCAAGUCGAACGGAAAGGCCUGCUUUCCCUUGUGGAUUGCGGGUACUCGAGUGGCGAACGGGUGAGUAACACGUGAGUGAUCUGCCCCCAACUUGGGUAUAAGCCUGGGAAACUGGGUCUAAUUCCCGAUAGGACUGCAGGGUGGUGCCUGUGGUGGAAAACGAUUUUCUAGUGGUUGGGGAUGAGCUCGCGGCCUAUCAGCUUGUUGGUGGGGUAAUGGCCUACCAAGGCGGCGACGGGUAGCCGGCCUGAGAGGGUGGACGGCCACAUUGGGACUGGGAUACGGCCCAGACUCCUACGGGAGGCAGCCGUGGGGAAUAUUGCGCAAUGGGCGGAAGCCUGAUGCAGCGACGCCGCGUGGGGGAUGACGGCCUUCGGGUUGUAAACUCCUUUCGACCGCGAGGAAGCCACCUGGUUGGAAGGGUGGUGACGGUAGUGGGAGAAGAAGCACCGGCUAACUACGUG
Molecule: ribosomal RNA, 494 nt
Filed under: uncultured bacterium
Lineage: Bacteria
Description: partial 16S ribosomal RNA
Rfam family: Bacterial small subunit ribosomal RNA
Source: RNAcentral